Molecule: long non-coding RNA, 136 nt
Organism: Lynx canadensis (Canada lynx)
Lineage: Eukaryota; Metazoa; Chordata; Mammalia; Carnivora; Felidae
Exons: 3
Source: RefSeq, a predicted model, not a curated record
AAAAACUAAAUGUAAAACCUAAAACUAUAAAACUCCUACAAAAAACAUAGAGGAAAAUCUUCAUGACAUUGAAUUUCGCAACGAUUUCUUGGCUAUAACACCAAAAGCCUAGGACACAAAAGCAAAAACAAAUGGA